RNAcentral lists this ribosomal RNA (372 nucleotides) under Triticum aestivum (bread wheat). RNAcentral describes it as "partial small subunit ribosomal RNA". The record is from RNAcentral. Lineage: Eukaryota; Viridiplantae; Streptophyta; Magnoliopsida; Poales; Poaceae.
AUGAAUGGUCCUGCUACUGUCUCGCGUGCGGUUUCUGUGUCUCUUUUUCUUGGACAGUGUUCUUCUCUCUUACAAUCAUAUUCUGGACAGGCUGCUUGUGCUGUCAAAUUUGAACUAUUUAGUAGGGUUGAUUUCUAUGCCACUAACGCCUACUGCCUUCUCCACCCAUCCAGUGGCAUACAAGACGUCCUUCUCCUCGACGCAGCCGCUCCCAAUGAGCUCUCUUUGCCGGAUGAGGUGCAGCAGCAAGUCCAGCACCCCCUCAGCCCCUGCAUCCUAUCCUACAUUGCCUGGACGAGCUCAUUCAUGGCUGCGUCUUCCUUACCUCCUAGCGUGGUGAUCCUCUCCCAACUUUACCCAAAAUCUGGAUGA